CCUACGGGUGGCAGCAGUGAGGAAUAUUGGUCAAUGGGCUCGAGCCUGAACCAGCCAAGUAGCGUGAAGGAUGACUGCCCUACGGGUUGUAAACUUCUUUUAUAAAGGAAUAAAGUGAGGCACGUGUGCCUUUUUGUAUGUACUUUAUGAAUAAGGAUCGGCUAACUCCGUGCCAGCAGCCGCGGUAAUACGGAGGAUCCGAGCGUUAUCCGGAUUUCUUGGGUUUAAAGGGAGGGUAGAUGGGUAGUUAAGUUAGUUGGGAAAGUUUGCGGCUCAACCGUAAAAUUGCAAUUGAUACUGGCAGCCUGGAGUGCAGUUGAGGUAGGCGGAAUUCGUGGUGUAGCGAUGAAAUGCUUAGAUAUCACGAAGAACUCCGAUUGCGAAGGCAGCCUAC
RNAcentral lists this ribosomal RNA (394 nucleotides) under uncultured bacterium. Its description in RNAcentral is "partial 16S ribosomal RNA". It matches the Rfam family "Bacterial small subunit ribosomal RNA", at positions 338 to 729 of the family's 1533-position model. The record is from RNAcentral.